RNAcentral lists this ribosomal RNA (497 nucleotides) under uncultured bacterium. RNAcentral describes it as "partial 16S ribosomal RNA". It matches the Rfam family "Bacterial small subunit ribosomal RNA", at positions 28 to 507 of the family's 1533-position model. The record is from RNAcentral.
GAUGAACGCUGGCGGCGGGCCUAACACAUGCCAGUCGAGCGAGCCGACGAGAGGCAGGCGCGUCUGAGGUUAGCGGGGGACGGGUGAGUAACACGUGGAUAGCCUACCUAUAAGACUGGGAUAACUUUGGGGAACCGGAGCUAAUACGGGAUAAUAUAUUGAACAGAAUGGUGCAAAAGUGAAAGACGGUCGUGCUGUCACUUAUAGAUGGAUCCGCGUUGCAUUAGCUAGUUGGUAAGGUAACGGAUUACCAAGGCGACGAUGCAUAGCCGACCUGAGAGGGUGAUCAGCCACAAUGGGACUGAGACACGGCCCAGCCUCCUACGGGAGGCAGCAGUAGGGAAUCUUACGCAAUGGGCGCAAGCCUGACGGAGCAACGCCGCGUGAGUGAUGAAGGUCUUCGGCUCGUAAAGCUCUGUUAUUAGGUAAGAACAUAUGCAGGAGUAUCUGUUCACUUCUUGACGGUACCUAAUCAAAAAGCAACGGCUAACUUCGUG